Molecule: ribosomal RNA, 253 nt
Filed under: uncultured bacterium
Lineage: Bacteria
Description: partial 16S ribosomal RNA
Rfam family: Bacterial small subunit ribosomal RNA
Source: RNAcentral
UACGUAGGGGGCAAGCGUUGUCCGGAUUCAUUGGGCGUAAAGAGCGUGUAGGCGGCCAGGUAGGUCGGUUGUGAAAACUGGAGGCUCAACCUUCAGAGGUCGACCGAAACCAUCUGGCUAGAGUCCGGGAGAGGAGAGUGGAAUUCCUGGUGUAGCGGUGAAAUGCGCAGAUAUCGGGAAGAACACCCGUGGCGAAGGCGGCCGACUGGGCCGGAUCCGACGCUCAAGCGCGAAAGCGUGGGGAGCAAACAGG